Molecule: ribosomal RNA, 279 nt
Filed under: uncultured bacterium
Lineage: Bacteria
Description: partial 16S ribosomal RNA
Rfam family: Bacterial small subunit ribosomal RNA
Source: RNAcentral
UGCCAGCUGCCGCGGUAGUACGGAGGGUGCAAGCGUUGUUCGGAAUUACUGGGCGUAAAGCGCGCGUAGGCGGCUUUUUAAGUCAGAUGUGAAAGUCCACGGCUCAACCGUGGAAGUGCAUUUGAAACUGGUAAGCUUGAGUAUCAGAGGGGAUGGUGGAAUUCCCGGUGUAGAGGUGAAAUUCGUAGAUAUCGGGAGGAAUACCGAUGGCGAAGGCAGCCAUCUGGCCUAAUACUGACGCUGAGGUACGAAAGCAUGGGGAGCAAACAGGAUUAGAUA